GAUGAACGCUGGCGGCGUGCCUAAUACAUGCAAGUCGAGCGAAUGGAUUAAGAGCUUGCUCUUAUGAAGUUAGCGGCGGACGGGUGAGUAACACGUGGGUAACCUGCCCAUAAGACUGGGAUAACUCCGGGAAACCGGGGUUAAUACCGGAUAAUAUUUUGAACUGCAUGGUUCAAAAUUGAAAGGCGGCUUCGGCUGUCACUUAUGGAUGGACCCGCGUCGCAUUAGCUAGUUGGUGAGGUAACGGCUCACCAAGGCAACGAUGCGUAGCCGACCGUAGAGGGAGAGCGGGCACCCUGGGACUGAGAAACGGCCCAGACUCCUCAGGGAGGCAUCAGUAGGGAAUCUUCCGCAAUGGUCGAAAGUCUGACGGAGCAACGCCGCGUGAGUGAUGAAGGCUUUCGGGUCGUAAAACUCUGUUGUUAGGGAAGAACAAGUGCUAGUUGAAUAAGCUGACACCUUGACGGUACCUAACCAGAAAGCCACGGCUAACUACGUGCCAGCCGCCGCUGUAA
RNAcentral lists this ribosomal RNA (515 nucleotides) under uncultured bacterium. RNAcentral's name for it is "partial 16S ribosomal RNA". It matches the Rfam family "Bacterial small subunit ribosomal RNA", at positions 28 to 523 of the family's 1533-position model. The record is from RNAcentral.